This 513-nucleotide ribosomal RNA is filed under the name uncultured chicken cecal bacterium. Its description in RNAcentral is "bacterial SSU rRNA". It matches the Rfam family "Bacterial small subunit ribosomal RNA", at positions 8 to 521 of the family's 1533-position model. The record is from RNAcentral.
AGAGUUUGAUCCUGGCUCAGGAUGAACGCUGGCGGCGUGCUUAACACAUGCAAGUCGAGCGAAGCACUUUUGUUGAUUUCUUCGGAAUGAAGUGAAAGUGACUGAGCGGCGGACGGGUGAGUAACGCGUGGGGAACCUGCCCCAUACCGGGGGAUAACAGUUAGAAAUGACUGCUAAUACCGCAUAAGCGCACAGGGACGCAUGUUCUGGUGUGAAAAACUCCGGUGGUAUGGGAUGGACCCGCGUCUGAUUAGGUAGUUGGUGGGGUAACGGCCCACCAAGCCGACGAUCAGUAGCCGACCUGAGAGGGUGACCGGCCACAUUGGGACUGAGACACGGCCCAAACUCCUACGGGAGGCAGCAGUGGGGAAUAUUGCACAAUGGGGGAAACCCUGAUGCAGCGACGCCGCGUGAAGGAAGAAGUAUUUCGGUAUGUAAACUUCUAUCAGCAGGGAAGAAAAUGACGGUACCUGACUAAGAAGCCCCGGCUAACUACGUGCCAGCAGCCGCGGU